Molecule: long non-coding RNA, 2283 nt
Organism: Oncorhynchus keta (chum salmon)
Lineage: Eukaryota; Metazoa; Chordata; Actinopteri; Salmoniformes; Salmonidae
Exons: 4
Source: RefSeq, a predicted model, not a curated record
UGUCUGUACUGCAAGACAACAGUGAGAGGGGGGAUGUCUGUACUGCAAGACAACAGUGAGGGGGAUGGCUGUACUGCAAGACAACAGUGAGGGGGAUGGCUGCAUAAGAAGCAUUUUAAGGUCCUGGAGUGGCCUAGCCAGUCUCCAGAUCUUAACCCCAUAGAAAAUCUUUGGAGGGAGUUGAAAGUCCGUGUUGCCCAGCUACAGCCCCAAAACAUCACUGCUCUAGAGGAGAUCUGCAUGGAGGAAUGGGACAAAAUACCAGCGAGUGUGUGUGAAAACCUUGUGAAGACUUACAGAAAACAUUUGACCUCUGUCAUUGCCAACAAAGGGUAUAUAACAAAGUAUUGAGAUAAGUAUUUGGUCAAUAAUAAGUUUAUUUUCCACCAUAAUUUGCAAAUAAAUUCAUUUUAAAAAAUCCUACAAUGUGAUUUUCUGGAUUUUUUUCUCAUUUUGUCUGUCAUAGUUGAAGUGUACCUAUGAUAAAUUACAGGCCUCAUCUUUUUAAGUGGGAGAACUUGCACAAUUGGUGGCUGACUAAACACUUUUUUGCCCCACUGUAUAUGUAGCACAAAAGCUGUAAAUUAAAAAAAACAUAUUUGUCCUCUGACGAGGGUUUAAUAAAAGUAAAAGAGUGGGAGUUAAGGGAGGUAGGGAGGGCUUCAGUGCUGAUUCAUAAUUAACAAGCCCCGUGUUCUUCUGAAGCAGUCUCUCUGGCCUGUAGUCAAGUCAGCAACUCUCCCUCCCUCAGCAUGCUGGCUGUUUAGGGUCAAACACAGGGUUAACAGGCCUUCGAUAAUGCAGGAACCACCCGUGGGCAGUCAGAGGUCAGCUCCCAUGAUGCUCAGGUGCACACUUCCGAGACGGUCAAGCAUUUUGUCUAGAAUGAAUACUUGAGUUAUCAUGAAUGAUACAUUCUGGUAGUAGUGUACUACCGAUGCAGUAUUCGAUUCCUCUGAAUGUUUCUUAAAGCUGAAUAACUGAGCGGACACGAAUCAAUGAGAAGACAUUCAAGCACUGGCCUGCUGUUGCUCUUGAUGUGUAAUAACAGAGUGGUUAAAGGUAGCCAGAGAGAAAGUGUUUCAGAGCUCCAGUCCUGUUGAUGUAGCUUCUGGCUGAAACGAGACAUCAGGCUGCUGUGGCGUGGAGCGUCAUCUCGUAUCUCCUCCCACUCAACUUCAGGCCUAACCCCUGUUGAUGAGCCCUUGGCUGGCGGUGACCCGGGCCUUCCGUCGCCUGAUGACAGACGCCACAUUCUCAUCUGCCAGAUGGGGUCUCAAUUGCUGACGUAUAGCGCCACAGCUGUCCCCGCCCCAAGAGGUGAUCGAUCUGGUUCCAGCCACAUAUCUCGGUCUCUGCAUGCAUCGUGACUGUGUCCCCGCCCCAAGAGGUGAUCUGGUUCCAGCCACAUAUCUCGGUCUCUGCAUGUAUCGUGACUGUGUCCCCGCCCCAAGAGGUGAUCGAUCUGGUUCCAGCCACAUAUCUCGGUCUCUGCAUGUAUCGUGACUGUGUCCCAUCCCUAAGAGGUGAUCUGGUUCCAGCCACAUAUCUCGGUCUCUGCAUGUAUCGUGACUGUGUCCCAUCCCUAAGAGGUGAUCUGGUUCCAGCCACAUAUCUCGGUCUCUGCAUGUAUCGUGACUGUGUCCCAUCCCUAAGAGGUGAUCUGGUUCCAGCCACAUAUCUCGGUCUCUGCAUGUAUCGUGACUGUGUCCCAUCCCUAAGAGGUGAUCUGGUUCCAGCCACAUAUCUCGGUCUCUGCAUGUAUCGUGACUGUGUCCCCGCCCCAAGAGGUGAUCUGGUUCCAGCCACAUAUCUCGGUAUCUGCAUGUAUCGUGACUGUGUCCCAUCCCUAAGAGGUGAUCUGGUUCCAGCCACAUAUCUCGGUAUCUGCAUGUAUCGUGACUGUGUCCCCGCCCCAAGAGGUGAUCUGGUUCCAGCCACAUAUCUCGGUAUCUGCAUGUAUCGUGACUGUGUCCCCGCCCCAAGAGGUGAUCUGGUUCCAGCCACAUAUCUCGGUAUCUGCAUGUAUCAUGCCUGUGUCCCCGCCCUAAGAGGUGAUCUGGUUCCAGCCACAUAUCUCGGUAUCUGCAUGUAUCGUGACUGUGUCCCCUCCCUAAGAGGUGAUCUGGUUCCAGCCACAUAUCUCGGUCUCUGCAUGCAUCGUGACUGUGUCCCCGCCCCAAGAGGUGAUCUGGUUCCAGCCACAUAUCUCGGUCUUUGCAUGUAUCGUGACUGUGUCCCAUCCCUAAGAGGUGAUCUGGUGCCAUCCAUAUUAGAGGUUGA